Macaca mulatta (Rhesus monkey) is the source of this 319-nucleotide non-coding RNA. Lineage: Eukaryota; Metazoa; Chordata; Mammalia; Primates; Cercopithecidae. The record is from RefSeq and is a predicted model, not a curated record.
CUUCUCUUUCUAUCUCUUUGUAGUACAGAGUGGUACAGUUGCAACAGCAGAGGAGUUGUUCCUGACUUCUGGUCUUCAUCCUGCCUCAUACUAGCUAUAUGACUUUUGGUCUGAAAGCAAAGUAUCUGUGCCCGACUCUUACAGGAUUGUGAAAAGUAAAGAGGUUAACAUAUGGCGAAUGCUUUAAACUCUGUGGUGAAGAUGCCAGAGAGUAAUAUUCUACAGAUGGGAAAACUGAGUCCCAGAGAAGCUCACAGGCUUGACUUAAAUCAUGUGGCAACAGAAAGAAAAUGAUACUAGAUGGGAAUUUGGACCUGCA